Molecule: non-coding RNA, 229 nt
Organism: Halothece sp. PCC 7418
Lineage: Bacteria; Bacillati; Cyanobacteriota; Cyanophyceae; Chroococcales; Halothecacae
Rfam family: HNH endonuclease-associated RNA and ORF (HEARO) RNA
Source: Rfam
GACUAACCCAAUCACUGGACAAUGAUUGACAUUCGUGUUUAUCCUGUUCGGUUAGUCCAGUCUAAGCCCUUCGAGGGCUACGUUUAGGGGAAGUGUUAAAGUUCAUACCUUAGGGUAUUUUCCAGCCCCAAGCUCUAUAAGUUCUAGGUUAAACAGGUUUAGGUGAUUACGGAUAGCCCAGUGCUUAGAACAAAGUACCGCCCUUAAACAUUGACGAGGAAAACUUUAC